This 506-nucleotide small RNA is filed under the name Pongo abelii (Sumatran orangutan). RNAcentral describes it as "processed transcript". The record is from RNAcentral. Lineage: Eukaryota; Metazoa; Chordata; Mammalia; Primates; Hominidae.
UGUCUUCCAUAGGAAGAAUUUUCUAACACAACAGGUGAGGACUCGUCUUUACAAGCUCUCUGUGGUGCUUCCCAGCAUGGAGCAGAUCCACAAAAGAACUCUGAGGGGCGUAGCAAGGAGACCAAACACAGGCACCCAGGGAGAGCACCUGGCAUAGCCACAGGGCCAUUGAGAUCUGCCACAGGGGGUGUUGGCCCGCUCUCAGUCGUCUCCCGAGCUGCAGAGUCCCCAGCCUGGAAACAAGGUUUCAACAUUCCCUUACAUGGUCCAGGCGCCGUCAGCGAGGUGAGCAACGGCACGUUGAGGAGGGCAGGCUGCGUCUGGCUGCUGCCUCUUCUGGUCUUGCACCUGCUCCUCAAAUUUUGAUGUGAGUGCCACUUCCCCACCCGGGAAAGGCUGCCGCCACCACCACCACCAACACAACAGCAAUGGCAACACCGACAGCAACCAAUCAGAUAUAUACAAAUGAAAUUAGAAGAAACACAGCCUCAUGGGACAGAAAUUUG